RNAcentral lists this ribosomal RNA (916 nucleotides) under uncultured bacterium. RNAcentral describes it as "bacterial SSU rRNA". It matches the Rfam family "Bacterial small subunit ribosomal RNA", at positions 246 to 1155 of the family's 1533-position model. The record is from RNAcentral.
UUGUUGGUAAGGUAAAAGCUUACCAAGGCUUCGAUCAGUAGCUGGUCUGAGAGGACGACCAGCCACACUGGGACUGAGACACGGCCCAGACUCCUACGGGAGGCAGCAGUGGGGAAUUUUGGACAAUGGGGGCAACCCUGAUCCAGCCAUGCCGCGUGAGUGAAGAAGGCCUUCGGGUUGUAAAGCUCUUUCAGCCGGAACGAAACGGUUACGGUUAACACCCGUGACUACUGACGGUACCGGAAGAAGAAGCACCGGCUAACUACGUGCCAGCAGCCGCGGUAAUACGUAGGGUGCGAGCGUUAAUCGGAAUUACUGGGCGUAAAGCGUGCGCAGGUGGUUUUGUAAGUCAGAUGUGAAAGCCCCGGGCUCAGCCUGGGAACUGCGUUUGAAACUACAAGACUAGAGUGUGGCAGAGGGGGGUGGAAUUCCGCGUGUAGCAGUGAAAUGCGUAGAGAUGUGGAGGAACACCGAUGGCGAAGGCAGCCCCCUGGGUCAACACUGACGCUCAGGCACGAAAGCAUGGGGAGCAAACAGGAUUAGAUACCCUGGUAGUCCAUGCCCUAAACGAUGUCAACUAGUUGUUGGGCCUUUACGGGCUUGGUAACGUAGCUAACGCGUGAAGUUGACCGCCUGGGGAGUACGAUCGCAAGGUUAAAACUCAAAUGAAUUGACGGGGGCCCGCACAAGCGGUGGAUUAUGUGGAUUAAUUCGAUGCAACGCGAAAAACCUUACCUACCCUUGACAUGUAUCGAAGCCCGCAGAAAAGCGGGGGUGCCCGAAAGGGAACGAUAACACAGGCGCUGCAUGGCUGUCGUCAGCUCGUGUCGUGAGAUGUUGGGUUAAGUCCCGCAACGAGCGCAACCCUUGUCAUUAAUUGCCAUCAUUUAGUUGGGCACUUUAAUGAGACUGCCGG